RNAcentral lists this small nuclear RNA (132 nucleotides) under Diaphorina citri (Asian citrus psyllid). RNAcentral describes it as "U2 spliceosomal RNA". It matches the Rfam family "U2 spliceosomal RNA". Rfam says of the family: U2 is a small nuclear RNA (snRNA) component of the spliceosome (involved in pre-mRNA splicing). Complementary binding between U2 snRNA (in an area lying towards the 5' end but 3' to hairpin I) and the branchpoint sequence (BPS) of the intron results the bulging out of an unpaired adenosine, on the BPS, which initiates a nucleophilic attack at the intronic 5' splice site, thus starting the first of two transesterification reactions that mediate splicing. The record is from Rfam by way of RNAcentral. Lineage: Eukaryota; Metazoa; Arthropoda; Insecta; Hemiptera; Psyllidae.
AUCGCUUCUCGGCCUCUUGGCUAAGAUCAAAGUGUAGCAUCUGUUCUCAUCAGCUUAAUACGUUCUUUAAGACCUUCAAUAUGAUGCGUCAGAAGUAGGGGAUUUUAAAGAUUGGCCCCCCUGGGACCCACU